Molecule: non-coding RNA, 30 nt
Filed under: Rattus norvegicus (Norway rat)
Lineage: Eukaryota; Metazoa; Chordata; Mammalia; Rodentia; Muridae
Source: RNAcentral
GGCAAGAACUUAGAAAAAUUGCACAGGGGU